GGGCUUGUAGCUCAGCGGAUUAGAGCGGCUGACUACGGAUCAGCAGGUCGGGAGUUCGAAUCUCUCCAGGCUCG
Molecule: non-coding RNA, 74 nt
Organism: Leptolyngbya sp.
Lineage: Bacteria; Bacillati; Cyanobacteriota; Cyanophyceae; Leptolyngbyales; Leptolyngbyaceae
Source: Rfam